Long non-coding RNA from Lolium perenne, 966 nucleotides. RefSeq lists it as uncharacterized. The record is from RefSeq and is a predicted model, not a curated record. Lineage: Eukaryota; Viridiplantae; Streptophyta; Magnoliopsida; Poales; Poaceae.
UGGUUCUAGGCAGGGUCCAAGGCACAAACAUGUUUUGCAGCGUCAGGCAGUACCCUGUGGCAUGUCAAACACUAACUGUAUAAGUCAUACGCAUCGAUACAUCUUUCGUAUGCUUCAUCAAUGCAACUUUUAUCAAAUAAAUUUACUAAUGAUCACAGUAAGAAAACCUCACUUUAUUUUAAAAUCAGUGUAAAUUCUUAGAUAGAUGUUAUUCAUCCAGGAUCAUAGAACGAGACAUCUAAUGAAAAAGCGAGGGAAAGGGUGCAGUCAGUUAUCCUUGACAUGUCAAAUGUGGUAAACAUCGACACUUCAGGACUUGUGAGGUUGAAGUAAAUACACAUCGACCUGUUGUCUAUGGGCAUACAUGUGAAAUGAUGAACUGACAAGCAUACUUAUGUUUUGGCAAGUAUUUCCAGUUUACUCUGUAUAAAAAUUCUAACUCGAGUGUUCAAUCAUUAUCUGCAGAUUGCUAUUGCCAGUCAAAGAUGGAAAGGUUACAAUAUCUGAUACCGAAGUGCAUACACUGCCGGUCAUCCAUAUGAGCUCUCUUAUAAUUUGUUUUGUUUGCACGGUGCCUUUCAUCGCUUAAUUUUUCGGAGUAUGAUGUUUGCUCAGUGCUUGGUCAUGCGCAGGCAUGUUAGUUCGUAUGUUUGCUUUUUUUUUCUCCUGCAUAUUCUAUGUACGUACUCUGCAUACCUGUUAAUUAAUAUAUGGCCUUUUGUUUCUCUGGUUUCUAGGAUCAAUCCUCAGAAUCAGUUUGAUACGCAAGACAACGAAGAUUUUACCUAUUCUACUACUGCACGCAGCUGCUAUAUGUUAAGUUUCUGGAGCUGGUUCUGGAGUGCAAGCACUACCCUAGCUUUUCAUUGAACUAUUUUGUAACUACGCAAUCUGCGUUUAUAAAUGCAGAUAAGUUGUUUGAAAUUCAGUAUUCCAGCUUGAGCUUAAAUAGUGUUUGCUACUGAA